This 393-nucleotide ribosomal RNA is filed under the name uncultured bacterium. RNAcentral's name for it is "partial 16S ribosomal RNA". It matches the Rfam family "Bacterial small subunit ribosomal RNA", at positions 523 to 918 of the family's 1533-position model. The record is from RNAcentral.
AUACGGAGGAUCCGAGCGUUAUCCGGAUUUAUUGGGUUUAAAGGGAGCGUAGGUGGAUUGUUAAGUCAGUUGUGAAAGUUUGCGGCUCAACCGUAAAAUUGCAGUUGAAACUGGCAGUCUUGAGUACAGUAGAGGUGGGCGGAAUUCGUGGUGUAGCGGUGAAAUGCUUAGAUAUCACGAAGAACUCCGAUUGCGAAGGCAGCUCACUAGACUGUUACUGACACUGAUGCUCGAAAGUGUGGGUAUCAAACAGGAUUAGAUACCCUGGUAGUCCGCACAGUAAACGAUGAAUACUCGCUGUUUGCGAUACACGGUAAGCGGCCAAGCGAAAGCGUUAAGUAUUCCACCUGGGGAGUACGCCGGCAACGGUGAAACUCAAAUGAAUUGACGGGG